Molecule: ribosomal RNA, 468 nt
Filed under: uncultured bacterium
Lineage: Bacteria
Description: partial 16S ribosomal RNA
Rfam family: Bacterial small subunit ribosomal RNA
Source: RNAcentral
GACGAACGCUGGCGGCGUGCUUAACACAUGCAAGUCGAACGGAAAGGCCCUGCUUUUGUGGGGUGCUCGAGUGGCGAACGGGUGAGUAACACGUGAGUAACCUGCCCUUGACUUUGGGAUAACUUCAGGAAACUGGGGCUAAUACCGGAUAGGAGCUCCUGCUGCAUGGUGGGGGUUGGAAAGUUUCGGCGGUUGGGGAUGGACUCGCGGCUUAUGAGCUUGUUGGUGGGGUAGUGGCUUACCAAGGCUUUGACGGGUAGCCGGCCUGAGAGGGUGACCGGGCACAUUGGGACUGAGAUACGGCCCAGACUCCUACGGGAGGCAGCAGUGGGGAAUAUUGCACAAUGGGCGGAAGCCUGAUGCAGCAACGCCGCGUGCGGGAUGACGGCCUUCGGGUUGUAAACCGCUUUCGCCUGUGACGAAGCGUGAGUGACGGUAAUGGGUAAAGAAGCACCGGCUAACUACGUG